UACGUAGGGUGCGAGCGUUAAUCGGAAUUACUGGGCGUAAAGCGUGCGCAGGCGGCGCGUUAAGACAGGUGUGAAAGCCCCGGGCUCAACCUGGGAAUGGCAAUGGAUACUGGCAAGCUAGAGUGCGGUAGAGGGUAGUGGAAUUCCCGGUGUAGCGGUGAAAUGCGUAGAGAUCGGGAGGAACACCAGUGGCGAAGGCGGCUACCUGGACCAGCACUGACACUGAGGCACGAAAGCGUGGGGAGCAAACAGG
Molecule: ribosomal RNA, 253 nt
Filed under: uncultured bacterium
Lineage: Bacteria
Description: partial 16S ribosomal RNA
Rfam family: Bacterial small subunit ribosomal RNA
Source: RNAcentral